UCUUCAGCUGGCUCCGUUAGAUGGAGGAGGAGUCAACCCCUAAUCCUCCUUUUGAUUCCAGUGCUGGUCUGGGACGACGCCAGGGACUCUCGAGAAGCCAAAGACAAGCUGGUUCUGGAGUUCACCUUCACCAAACCGGUUCUAGCGGUCCGCAUGAGGCACGACAAGAUCAUCAUCGUGCUAAAGAACCGGAUCUACGUGUACAGUUUCCCAGACAACCCUGUUAAGCUUUUUGAGUUUGACACCAGAGAUAACCCCAAAGGUCUGUGUGACCUGUGUCCCAGUCUGGAGAAACAGCUGCUGGUCUUUCCGGGUCACAAGUGUGGCAGCCUGCAGCUGGUUGUAAGUC
Etheostoma cragini (Arkansas darter) is the source of this 349-nucleotide long non-coding RNA. RefSeq lists it as uncharacterized. NCBI's taxonomy places the organism in Eukaryota, Metazoa, Chordata, Actinopteri, Perciformes, Percidae. The transcript is spliced from 5 exons. The record is from RefSeq and is a predicted model, not a curated record.